Molecule: long non-coding RNA, 4057 nt
Organism: Cephus cinctus (wheat stem sawfly)
Lineage: Eukaryota; Metazoa; Arthropoda; Insecta; Hymenoptera; Cephidae
Exons: 5
Source: RefSeq, a predicted model, not a curated record
UUUCUAUAGGGUAUUGGCUAUUAUUUCUUAGAAUUAUCAGAUGGUGAUACUAUUUAUACGCGAUAUAUGUUCUAUUCAUACUGGAAACGUAUCUCGAGGAAUUCGGUGCGUAAUAUCAUGGAAUCGGAGCAUCAUUUUCGAAAUUCAAAUAACGUCGGUAAGCACGGUUACGACGCUUUCGCUCGUAGGUAUAAAACGCUGGUGUUAUCGAAGCUGAUAGAUUCCGAAUCGUUGUACGAUCAUAAAAUAGGAAUACUUGAUUCCUUAUGGUCGGCUUCUAAAACGAUCAAGACUUGAAGAAAAGGAUUUAGAAUACCGCUAUUGAUUUUUCUAUAUAACGGCGCAGAUACCUUUAUGAUACAGUGGAAUUACCAGGUAUUUGAUUACUUUAUUAUAAAUUUAUUACAUGUAACUUUAUUAUCGCCUUCAUUACCUCUGUUCUUAAGUGCUAUCAAUAUUUUUUACCUUUAUCUUUGCCCUGUUUUCAUGUGAGCUGAUCAUACAUUCUGAAAAAGGAGUUUCCUAAGUUCAAUAAUGAAUCGGUCGAAUACGAUGAUCCUUGAAAAGUUGUGCCGUACACGCUUCGUUCCCUGUUUCAACUCUUUUUAAAGGGUUCUUUGACCAAUCAAGUGAGCACUUGGAACUGUGUGCAUUUCAGAUUUUUCCCACUCCGGAUAAUCUCGAUAUCGCACUCGUUCUAUAUCACCCUGAAAAAGAUCAUUUUGUGAAAUAGGUCGACCCCGUAAAUCCAACGGAACACGCCGGAUUUCUGGUACAGAUCAUGCGCAUGAGCACUGCUAGAAAAUAUUUCAGUGGAUCACAGAGUUCGCUGACUGGCUAGAAAAAUAUUUUGAUUGUCCUCUGUAGCUGAUAUCGUAACGUGUUAUAUGAGUUUUGAGAUUGGUAUAGGCGCGUGUACACGUGGAGAGAAAUAUCCAUCGGUAUUGAAAUUCAUCUUUGCGCAAUAAACUGUUCUCGGAAUUUUUAUGCCUGUAGUUUGUACAGUAUGUAGUAUUGCAACUGAAUUUCGUUCUACGAAUAGCCAUUUACUUUUUAUUUCGCCUUUAUUGCUUAAGGGCUAUUAACUCAGUAUCACGAAAACAAUGAUAAUAAAGUCUCUGGACUAAUCUUUUUUGUCUUUAGGAAACUCGAGAAACAUUUACAUUUUAACUGUAAGAUAUAAUUCAACCCUUAAAAUCCCAAUGUAUCUAUUCGUGUUCACUAAGAGAAAUGCUAACGGACUCGUCUCCUGCUAAAGAAAGGAUAUUCUAAAAGGUCCAAGAGUUAGGGCCUAUUAAAUAUCAUAGUAAACGACAAAAAAUAUCCUUGUCCCUUUUGUCAUUGGCUUUUUGAGUCACCCUUUUUCAGGCAAUCUUUUACCCAAGAUGAAAUAUCACGAAGAAAUUAUUUGAGGAGAAGACAAUAGGCCUACAGGGAUUCAGCAGCUGAUACGUAAUUUCCAGAAGCGAAAUAUAUUGUACAAAAAAAAACAAAUAUAGUAAAUCUGAAACUGGAAAUAUGGCCCAAGACCAUAUAAUAUAUUUCGUAUUGCAAUAUUCCAUAAAAAAACAUUUAAUACAUAUAAAUACAAAAAGUAUGCAAUUCAUAAAGUCAACUUUAUGUCCUAGCUUGAUAUAUUGUAAAAUGGAAGUUGAGCCCCGCUGAAGAUUCUAUAUCAGAACUCGGCAACGUCCAUCGUUGAGUCGCAGGAGUCAAGCAUGGAAAAACUAGUGGACGAAGGAUAACCGGAAAGCGCCAAGAAAGCACGUCGCGAAAAAGCCGGAUGUAAAAAUGCCCUAAAAGAAAUGAAGGCAGGAAUGGUAACAUCACUAUAUAUAUACACAAUGAGUCUGACAAAGACGGAAUACGUCCACUGUGUAUAAGGACCCUAGUGUGAAAGGAAAGGGAAUCAUGGGGAUGCCGGACACGCUCCAAGUCCAUUUCUUUCACCCUGCACCCCUAGCGGAUAUCUGACCCUUCAAUGACGCUUUAUUAAAUUCCCGUUCCGCGAGAUUGUCCGGUCGCCUUGCGUUCCCUGGGAAGUCAGAUGCUUGGAAAAAAUCAGGGUAACAAAGCGUCGAUUCCUUAACACUAAACGUACCAUCGACGGGUCCUUUGACCCUUUUAGAGCCAAAAAUACGUUUUUAAAAAAUGUUUAGUGUUAACCCUCUUCCACAACUGAAAAAGGAUUGACAAUUUGGACCACUCCAAUGUUCUUAUUAAUCAAUCUCAACCAAUUUUCACCGUAUGAUAAAAAUCCUCGUGGACUCAAUUUUUUUCAAAUACCUUUACGUAAAGUAGAAAUUCUGAGUAAAGAAAAUACCACCUUAACCCCUAAGAAUCUUUACUUCAUCCAUCUGGCACUUUUCUAUCCCUCCUUUCCAUCGUCCCUCCCUUCGGAUCUAUAUACCUAUCACCUAUAACCUUUGUAGAAUCUUCAAAAGUUAAAAACUGAGUCAGGUGAUGAACCAAGGGUGAGGUAGUAAGACACCCCUUUUCUAUUCCAUUUUUUUUUUACUUUCCAUAAUCAAUUCUCAUUUCCCUUCAGGACGAAAUUUAUCUCGAAUGAAAAUUGCAAAUCGAUUAGGAAUCCACCCUAGUCAUUCUUUAUUGCUUGUUGGCUAAUGUUAUUUUUUUUUAUUUUUAUAUCCACCUUUUAAAGAUCCACAGGAAAUUGUUCCUUACUAAUGUCUGAGGUUUGAGUGUGAAAUUCUUUAGGGGAAUUAAACUAUGGUUAUUAUGGUGAUACCCGUUGCUACAGACUUUCGUUAUAUGGAUAUUACAUUUCUGGUUCUCCCGUCCAGAAUGGUGAAGUUUGCAUCUAAAACCCUGAGGCGGUGGCGGAUAGCGUGUGGAAGUAGCACAGUAGUCCCCUUGCUACGAGUCUGGGAUGUGAUAAAGAAGAUUCUUUGGCAAAGAAAAAGGAAAGAAACACUUGAGAGUUUAAUUAGCAUAGCUAUUAGUGGAUCAAUUAGCAAUGCAUUUGCAGUUUGCCUCGUGCAACUAUUCCUAUUUGAUUCUAUGAGAUGGAGGACCCUUAUGAUUCACUCGAUGUCUUGUGAAAAUCUCAUUCAGUACACACUAUUUAUCCUACUCUCUGAAGGCUGUUUGGUAAAGGCUGAUAUACAGUUUGGCUUUUCCGGAAGAAAAUCCUGAAGGGAAGUGGUUGCUGGGAAUUUUUUUGUCGCUACCAAGUAUACAUAUACAUCUGUAUAGUGAUGGCAUAUAUCCUCUAUGGUGAGGAGACUGAAAGGAACUGAAGAUUUAUGCGUACCUGAUACAAAUUAUUGGAAAGUAUGUGUAUUAGGCAUAAAAUGUAGGACGCGUAGGAGACGUCAGUCUCGACGGAGUAGCAUCCGGAAUGGUUUGGAGGAAGAAAAAAAAGUGGUCACGCUCUUGAGAAGCCAACUGCUAGCUGCUAUAGUAGAACGGACAGGGGAAAAGAAGAAGUGGAGCUUUCGCGCGGGACAUUUAAAAAGGAUCGUCUGAAGAGAAAAAUGGUUGAAACGUAUUUCGUACGUGUAACGUUAGACAGUAUACAAUAAGUAUACAGUUACAAUGGUUAGCUGGAAUACCGUCAUAUCCGUGGGGCACCUUAAAUUUUGAACACCCUGUACACCGUGGACAGAAUUUACUACGUAGAGAAUUAAGCUACCUAUAGAAGCGAAGGAAUUUACGUGAAUAGAAAAUACGGUGGUCGCGGCUUGCAGCUGUCGAAAUUUUUCUUCGCUUCUAACGGAUGCUAAUGUACGUCGUACUCGUAUGGAAUAUCGGACAGGACAGGGAUGGGUGGGUUUUGUUUGGCCGUUUAAUUUCCGGGACUGUUAUCGAGGAAGGCGGUUUGCUCUGCCGAAGUUUAACGACGCUAGAUGCGGAUAACGAGCUCCUUCCUUUUCGAACUAUCGAGCGCUCGUUAAAGGCGAAUUUAAGAUUCGGAUUACACCGGCUGGAAAUUCAGUUUGGCAAGGCAAUGUAAUUUCAUCGGUUAUAUAGGAAUAAUAGAAAGCGGUAAUAAAUUCCACAUUUAAAAAAGGAAUAUGAACAUAUAUUUUUUUAC